This 428-nucleotide ribosomal RNA is filed under the name uncultured bacterium. RNAcentral's name for it is "bacterial SSU rRNA". It matches the Rfam family "Bacterial small subunit ribosomal RNA", at positions 64 to 488 of the family's 1533-position model. The record is from RNAcentral.
GAGCGGAUGAAGGGAGUUGCUCCUGGAUUCAGCGGCGGACGGGUGAGUAAUGCCUAGGAAUCUGCCUGGUAGUGGGGGAUAACGUCCGGAAACGGGCGCUAAUACCGCAUACGUCCUGAGGGAGAAAGUGGGGGAUCUUCGGACCUCACGCUAUCAGAUGAGCCUAGGUCGGAUUAGCUAGUUGGUGGGGUAAAGGCCUACCAAGGCGACGAUCCGUAACUGGUCUGAGAGGAUGAUCAGUCACACUGGAACUGAGACACGGUCCAGACUCCUACGGGAGGCAGCAGUGGGGAAUAUUGGACAAUGGGCGAAAGCCUGAUCCAGCCAUGCCGCGUGUGUGAAGAAGGUCUUCGGAUUGUAAAGCACUUUAAGUUGGGAGGAAGGGCAGUAAGUUAAUACCUUGCUGUUUUGACGUUACCAACAGAAUU